RNAcentral lists this long non-coding RNA (574 nucleotides) under Elaeis guineensis (African oil palm). RNAcentral describes it as "long non-coding RNA (EGUI_LNC005679)". The record is from RNAcentral. Lineage: Eukaryota; Viridiplantae; Streptophyta; Magnoliopsida; Arecales; Arecaceae.
UCAUACGCUGUAAUUUUUCUAUAUAUAUAUGUAUAUUAUGCUGAGCAUCCAUUUUCUUGGAUUUGGGAGAAAAAAAUCAUUUUUCUUAAAAUAAAAAAGAAAAAUAUUGUUAAUAAUUUUUUUUUGAUAGAACAUAAUAUUGAAAUUAGAAUAGAAGAACUAAUUAUAACAAAGAUAACAAAAGCUCGCAGCAUCUAAACUAAUCAACUAAGAUCUAUCUAAAGGGAUGGGAUGUUUGAGGUACCAUCAAAAUCUCUUGCAGAACUCAUACCAGCUAAAUAUAGCGGAACACAAAGUACUAACAGAACGAGCUUUCAAAAUCCAAGAGUCUAUGGCGGUAGAAUCACCUUCUAGGAUUAGAAAUCUACAUUAUAGGCAAUAAUUAGCCAAAAUUAAGCCUUCCCAAGUUGCUCGUUACUUGGUCAUGAUAAUUGAAUUAGUCAAAAAGUAUCUUGAACCUCCUAUAAGCAAUUGAUCAUUAUGAUCUCGGAUAAUAUAAUCAGCACCACCCCGAUUGUUUUGGAUGAAGCCAUCAAAAUUGACCUUCAAGAAUCCAUUGGGGAGGGGUACCCCA